Long non-coding RNA from Lates calcarifer (barramundi perch), 758 nucleotides. RefSeq lists it as uncharacterized. The transcript is spliced from 3 exons. NCBI's taxonomy places the organism in Eukaryota, Metazoa, Chordata, Actinopteri, Centropomidae. The record is from RefSeq and is a predicted model, not a curated record.
GUUUUUCAGACGCUGGUGCUGACUCAUCCCCUGAAAACAGAACUGACCCCUGCAGUGAAUAGGGGCACUCAGAUGGAGGUUGUGACCUCUCAGCCUGCAAAAACAGACCUGACCCCUGUACUAAGGAUGGCAAUCGACAUACAGACAGUUGUUGUGUCUCUGGAGCUAUGGAGUCUCAUGUGCAGCUGUGUGUCACCUGCUGCUCUGAUCAUUAGCCCCAUCAUUAUGGAUCUACUACUAUUUGUAUUAUCUGAAGUGUUAUUAUACUGCCACUCUCGCUGCUCUCAUGUCAUUACUAUAUGACACGCUGAUGAGACGAUGUUAGUGGGCCUCAUCCAGAAUGAUGACGACUGGGCCUAUAGAGAGGAGGUGGAACAGCUGGAGUACUGAUGCAGGAGCAACAACCUGAUCCUAAACGUCAAAAAACAAAAGAAAUCAUUGUUGACUUAAGGAAGAACCAGCCUGGCCACUCACCACUGCUGAUCAACAACACGGCAGUAAAGGUAGUGGGAAGCACAAAGUUCCUGGGGGUCCACAUCACAGAUACCCUAAACUGGACUGUAAACACUGGGUCCCUGGCAAAGCGUGUGCAGCAGUGUUUGCACUUUCUCUGGAGGAUCACACUUUCCCCCUCCCAUCCUCAUCACUUUUUACAGAAGCACUGUAGAGAGCAUUAUGACCAACUGCAUCUAUGGCUGCAGACUGGAAGUGCCUACAGAGAGUGGUUAGGACAGCGGAGAAGAUCACUGGGACUUCUC